AGCAGCCGCGGUAAUUCCAGCUCCAAUAGCGUGUAUUAAAGUUGCUGCAGUUAAAAAGCUCGUAGUUGAAUUUCGGGACCAAUAUGUCGGUCGUGCUUCGGUACGUACUGUCAUAAUUGGUUUCUCCCUUCUGAAGAACCUUGAUGUCAUUAAUUUGGUGUCUUGGGGAAUCAGGACUGUUACUUUGAAAAAUUAGAGUGUUUAAAGCAGGCUCGCGCUUGAAUACAUUAGCAUGGAAUAAUGAAAUAGGACGUUUGAUUCUAUUUUGUUGGUUUCUAGGAUCGACGUAAUGAUUAAUAGGGAUAGUUGGGGGCAUUAGUAUUCAAUUGUCAGAGGUGAAAUUCUUGGAUUUAUUGAAGACUAACUACUGCGAAGGCAUUUGCCAAGGAUGUUUUCAUUAAUACAAGAACGAAAGUUAGGGGAUCGAAGACGAUCAGAUACCGUCGUAGUCUUAACCAUAAACUAUAGCC
This 470-nucleotide ribosomal RNA is filed under the name uncultured Glomus. RNAcentral's name for it is "SSU rRNA". It matches the Rfam family "Eukaryotic small subunit ribosomal RNA", at positions 569 to 1044 of the family's 1831-position model. Lineage: Eukaryota; Fungi; Glomeromycota; Glomeromycetes; Glomerales; Glomeraceae. The record is from RNAcentral.